RNAcentral lists this long non-coding RNA (1637 nucleotides) under Gallus gallus (chicken). RNAcentral's name for it is "lncRNA (ENSGALG00000051316.2)". The record is from RNAcentral. Lineage: Eukaryota; Metazoa; Chordata; Aves; Galliformes; Phasianidae.
AGAAGCAAUUUGCAUGGUGGGACUCAUGUGGCACCCAGUGCUGGCACUUCAAAGCACUGAGUACUUCAGCUUUGCCAGAGCUGACUCAGAGGCCCGUUCCUUCUGUCAAAUGCAGCGGCGAGUGACUUUAAUCACUCUGGCUGUCAUUUGGAUGCAGAGAGCUGGCCUGGCUCACAAAUCAAGCACUAUUCAGGACCAGACUGCACGGCCCGCAAGCGUUAUCUGCACAAAGAAAGGUUUCUGUUCAUGGAGAGAGAGACUGCGUGAUCUAGACAGGAAGCCUGGCCCAGCUCCCAGCUAGGCUUCAUCUGAAGAGAAAACUUGUCCAGCCCAUCAAACAACCAUGCUAUCUCAGUGGAGCUGGCUCAGGGCAAAAGCAGCUGUGAAGAGGGCAGCCGGAGCAUGAUGAAACAUGGGGCAGGGUGGAGACCUUGACGACUUUCUGGCUAAAAUACACCUUCUCCAGUGACAUGGCCCCCAAAUACAUCCUCCAACUCAUGCGCUUUGCCCUGGGAUAGAACUUGCUCCAAAUAAGAGGCAUGUGCUACAACAGAGCAGGUUUCUCCCGAGCAUUGCCAGGAGAGGGCAGCAGUGGAAAGCUUUGUGUUUCAGCGUUUCUCCUUCCCCAGAGGGAUGCCACCACCUGCUCCCUGGAAGUGAGAGGAAUACUAAAGGAAAAACAGUUUUAUUCUGCCUUUACACAGCUACAGGACAGUGUACAAAUGGAUCCGCGGUUUAUUUUUCUUCAAGUCUUGCCCGAGUUCAGCCCAACGAAUGACUCCUGUGGCAUACACCGUCACUCCCACAGGCCUUUCGGUUCAUUGGCCUGGCAGCCCACAGCCGGAUCCCUCUCACGUGCCCACAGCCUCAGCUGGUGCCUGGUUACACACGUGCCGUAUGAAGAGGCACUCGGGGACAGAUGUCACAUGAGAAGCAUGCAUGGUGAGAAAGAAGCCUUGGUUGCAGCCCUGAAGGGCCUCUUGUAAGCGUGUGACCUGCCCAGCCCUGAAGGGCCUCUUGUAAGCGUGUGACCUGUGCCAGCUGAAGGCUUGGAAACCAUUACGGUCUGGACCUGAGCAUUUAUCAGACAAAAAGGACUCCAGAACAGGCACGUGGGACUCAUCUUUGUAAUGUAACACCAUCCAUUCGUAUGAGUAAAGCUAAAGGAAAACUCUUGGCAUAUCCAAUUCUGGGAGAUGGAAAGUCUGCCUGUUUCAAUGUGGCUUUUGGGGUUUGGCUAGAAGGGCUUUGGGAUGUUGAGGUGAUCCUAUUGCAAAUAGAACUCUUGGAGAAAAGGCUUUUGCAGUCUUCACAGGAGGGCUCACCCUUUCUUUUCCAUAAGGCUGUUCUUUGGCAGAUGCCGUCAGCGCAGAGUAUUCUACUCUUGGCACUGUUACCUGGAUGAUUUUAGCUGUCAGUUCAGCUUUGCAUACAGCUGGAUCUUGAGCCAGCAACCGACCCAUCGAGCUCUGUCAGAGACUUGAAUGUGGAAAAGAGCCGAGAAGGCCGGGUGUGGCACGCUUCAUGCUUUGUUGCACUCCUGCUCUAUUCCUCCAUCUGCACCAGGCAUGCUGCAAGGUGCUGCAGAACGGCGCUGGAGAAUAUUUCUCGGACUUGCACGAAAUAAAUAUUUGAAG